This 29-nucleotide small RNA is filed under the name Bombyx mori (domestic silkworm). Its description in RNAcentral is "piRNA piR-bmo-2085614". Lineage: Eukaryota; Metazoa; Arthropoda; Insecta; Lepidoptera; Bombycidae. The record is from RNAcentral.
UGCCCACAGUAUGCCUGGAUUUCAUUCUC